This is a long non-coding RNA of Acyrthosiphon pisum (pea aphid), 1482 nucleotides long. RefSeq lists it as uncharacterized. NCBI's taxonomy places the organism in Eukaryota, Metazoa, Arthropoda, Insecta, Hemiptera, Aphididae. The transcript is spliced from 7 exons. The record is from RefSeq and is a predicted model, not a curated record.
UGAUGUCCAUCAAGUAUUGGCACCGGCACAGUAUGCUAGAAUAUAAUAUGUAUUCUAACGUCAAAAAAUUGCUAGGAAUUUGCUAGAUUUUGCUAGGUCGUUUUCAGAAAAACGAUUCUGAAUUGAGUCUGUACAGACUACGUAUUCAACCUAAAAAUGUCAAUAAAAUGUUAUUUUAACCGCGGAGUUUUUAUCAAACAUAAAAAUUAUAAAAUUAUAAUAUCAAUAAACAGUAGUGAUAAGUGAUAAGUCUAAUCAAAGCAUUUUGUUUAUCUCCCGAACUUUCACGGAAAUCGACUGUAACUGAUGCAUUAGUCUGUCGAAAAAAGUCUCGUUCUCUUGUUUCAAGCACUGAAGGACGGACUCACGGACCUACGACGGACGCACACGAGAGAACUCUUGAAGCUAGUGAGAGCUAGUGUGUCGCCUAGAACGGUAGACUCGAGUACUCAAUCACCGACGCUCUGAGUGAGGUAUUUAACUACCUUUUCACUAUCAGUUUGUGACAAACACUUUUUGUUUGCCGCAGCCCCCGUGCCAUAUGAUUGCUUCGCUGACAUGUUCGAAUAUGGUGCCAUCGAUACAAACAUUAAACACGAUAAGCCUGGUGAUAAAAUGCUGUCGGAUUGGAACCAGUACAUUUGCGUAGUUACCUUUGACUUGGAGUUUGGCCCGACGGUGGAGGUCUACCCCAACGACAUCAAAUUAUCCAUGGAAGUCAAACCUAACCUCUGUUACCUGGCAUUUCUCAACUCCAAUUCCAGAUGCAUGGGAGUCACCUAAUUCCAUGUCAAGAAAAAGUGUUCUCAACCUUCAAAUCUCAGUCAACGCCAUAUAAACAAUUUUGCAAAAUUUAUGGGUAAACUUAAGCCACGGUUUCACUUAGCCGUCGUUUUCCGUUCCACGGGUGGCUUGCAGACAGCUGUUCUCGUAGUCAGCUGAUCUUCAUUUUAUAUAUUAAGAUAUUUGGAUUUUCCUGUUGUUGUAUGCAAUAUUAUCAGGGAAGAUACAAGAGGUAUAAUAUGUAGAGUUGCUGUCAUAUAUUAGAAAUGUAUUAUCGUUAAUAUACAGCCAACUGACAAUAAUUAGUGACAAUGAAUUUGGAUUGAUGGAUGAGAUUAAGAUUAUAUUCCCUGAAAGCAAUCAAGCAUCAAGGAUGUUAUUCCAUUUUUACCAAGCAAUUACAAUCUUAUUAAAAGGAAUCCAAUUGCUACACGAGUGUUGAGAUUGGUUCUAGCAUUACCAUAUCUGCCUGCAGUGAGAACGGACAAUUUUCCUUCAAUGAAGGAUGAAUUUCAGACAAUUGUAGAUUAUAUGAACCAAUUUCCCAAUUUCAUUAUGCAUUGUGAGGGAUUUUUAUUUGAGUAUAUUGGUUUGAAAAGAUAAAACCUACUGCAAUAAAAGUUUACCAAAAAGAUCAGUUAUAGUUCUUAGAAAAUCAGUGAUUCAUUGAAUUAAGACAAUUGAAACAAAAUACGAAGG